AAAGGAUGACCAGGAUUAGUUUUCUCCAACAGGAAAUAACUUCCUUUGGGAAGUAUAAAAUAGGCUGCAUGGUGAUAAGGAAGCUUACAGACAGAUUUGGUUGCCGGAGGAGAGGACAAAGACCUGUGAUUUCUCCUUGGACUCCAGAUUAUGUUCAACUUAGGACUGUGGUCUUGCAGCUAACUCAUCAAGUCCAUCACGUGAGAUGUAGAAUACAGAAUCAGAUUCAUGGGUCUUACACUGGAAGCACUCAAUAACAACUGGACCCUCCCCUGGUAUUCAAACACUGAAACGUGGAGAGAGUGCUGGAACUGUGUUAUGGUGACAUGUGACAUGU
Pogoniulus pusillus (Red-fronted tinkerbird) is the source of this 337-nucleotide long non-coding RNA. RefSeq lists it as uncharacterized. The transcript has 3 exons. Lineage: Eukaryota; Metazoa; Chordata; Aves; Piciformes; Lybiidae. The record is from RefSeq and is a predicted model, not a curated record.